RNAcentral lists this ribosomal RNA (1034 nucleotides) under Niveus flexilis. RNAcentral describes it as "SSU rRNA". It matches the Rfam family "Eukaryotic small subunit ribosomal RNA", at positions 1160 to 1677 of the family's 1831-position model. Lineage: Eukaryota; Foraminifera; Allogromiidae. The record is from RNAcentral.
AAGGGCACCACAAGAACGCGUGGAGCAUGUGGCUUAAUUUGACUCAACGCGGGAAAUCUUACCGGGUCCGGACACACUGAAGAUUGACAGGCGUUUGUGGUGUUUAUUUUGAGGGGUUUUUAACUUUUUCAAAAUGACAUCACUAUAAAUUAUGCUAGUCCUUUCAUGAUGUGUGAUAGGUGGUGCAUGGCCGUUCUUAGUUCGUGGAGUGAUCUGUCUGCUUAAUUGCGUUUCACAAAGGGCUUUCUAACUUCUACCUGUUGCACGGGUGAAUUUUGGUUGUUUUUUCGCGUUUGUGUAUUCGUACACACCGGAAGUUCAGCUUAUUUCAUUCUUCAGUGCACGGUAGAGAAAAAGUCCUGAAGGCAACGAACGUGACCGCAACCUCUUGUUGCCUCUUUUCCUCCCCGGAUUUACGUGGUUUAGUUGGGAAUCAAUUUUUUUGGUUUUCAGUUGGACUGUGUUUAUUCGGAUGGAACAUGGUCCAUUGUUUAUUCUUUCGGGAAUGAAUAAUGACCUGCAUUUAGAGUGCUAACUAGAGGGACCGCUGACAACUUUUAAAACAGAGGAAGGUUGCGGCAAUAACAGGUCUGUGAUGCCCUUAGAUGUUCCGGGCUGCACACGUGCUACAAUGAUUAUUGCAGUGAGCAUGUAAAACUUUCUAUUCUUUUUUCUUUCUCUUUACGGAGAAGAAGAUUGAGUGGAAUCAGGUUAACCACUUGGUCUCUUUUUUGAGAUUAGGUGGCCCUGAAUCAACCUGCUUCGAAAGUAAGCAGGUAAUCAAUUCGAAGUAAUGAUUUCCUUUUCCGCACAUACUUAUAUCUCUUGUUUUGCGGUGCGCCGGUGUGGCUUUGUUUUCGGACUUGGUCACAUUUCGUGUGUAUUCGCCUGGGAAUAUGUGCUCCAUUAAUUCAUGGUGGGGACAGACCAUUGUUAAUUGUUGGUCUCGGUCUCAACUAGGAAUGCCUUGUACGGGUCUUUGGUUCAACAAACCACCCGGAAUAUGUCCCUGCCCUUUGUACACACCGCCCGUC